Molecule: non-coding RNA, 4296 nt
Organism: Meleagris gallopavo (turkey)
Lineage: Eukaryota; Metazoa; Chordata; Aves; Galliformes; Phasianidae
Source: RefSeq, a predicted model, not a curated record
GUAAGAAGUGGCUGUUCACAGAUCUUGGUAAGAGUCUGGGAACCAUUAUGUCAUGGCCUGAAGCACUGAUUGAGCACCUGGUGAAGGGGGGUAGCCAGCCCUGGGAGCACAGGUGGAAGCAAUUCAUGUGUGGCCAGAAGGGGUGAACUCUGGGUCUGCCCCUCUCUGACCUUAUUUAAGGUCUGGCAGCCAUAAGGGAAGCAUCUAUCUGGAGACUGUCUUCUCUGGAGUGUUUGGUGAGCCCUGAUGCUUGGAAAGAGUCUCUCAGCACAGGAUGGAAAUACUUCUUCAUGAAGACUCCCAUCUUUUUCUUCUCCAUCCUGUAUAUUCUGCUUUCUGUGAGAAAGAAUUACGCAGACUGGAAGGAAGUCACAGUGCAAGUCAUCCUGCUGCCCAGGUAGACAAAUAAUGAUUCUAUCCCAGCACACAGAUGAGGAACGGGGACAUAAAGAAAAGGGGAUUUUCUCAAGAUCAGAAUUAGUGUACAUCAUUCAGGCCAUGUGAAAUCAUUGCCUGUGAUUUGAUUCAGUACUGAAGUAAGAAGACAACUUUACUAAUAUUACUGCUUAAUAUUUUCUGUUGUUUUAAAAUUAAAUUUGUUGGUUUCUAGAUUUUUUUUUUUUCCUGUGAGGUCACAUGCACUUGGAAACUUCAUAGAUUUGCAUUUUUCUGGCUGAAAGUAUGCAACCAAAUAAUAAAUUACUUGUUAUAACUGACUAUUCUAUUUACUAUUAAAUGCUUAACUAAUAUAAAACUGUUAUAUCAGCCAUUAAAUAUAAUCAUUUAAUUAUCUAUAAUUAAAUAUAUGCUAUGCUCCUUUGCCAGUAAUGACCAAAGGGAACUUUUUUUCUUUGUUUAUCUCAAGAUAACACAGAUAGAUGCAAAUAAAGAGAACGAAACAAAUUCUGCUUGAGGUCUACACUGUAAAAAUAAAUAAAUUUAAAAAAAUGUAGGAAAGCAAAGCAGCAGUAGACUGUUUUCAGGAUUUCUUUAAAACAAUAGCAGUGUAUAUUCACAAAACUCAGCUCUGAAUGUGAUAUGACAUAUUUAUUACUGUAUGAUUUGUUCCUUUACAAUGCUUUGGAACAUUUAUAAGUUUGUAAGACACAUUGAUGGAUGUGUUACUCUGAAAUGCUGUCUUGAAAAGUAGCAGCUGCAAAGAUUGCUCUGGCUUUUUUCACUAAAUGGAAGUGAAGGGACUGAUGAACUAUGUUGGUUAAACAGGAUUUAUUAAUGUGCCAAGAGACACUUCAAAUUCUGCACUCAUUUUUUUUCAUGCUUUAAAAUAGAAAUAUAUCUUCUCUGUAUUUCUAGAACAAUUAAGAGAAGUUGGAAAGGCAAACCAGUUUUUGCCUUCUCUGGGUUUGGAAACCCAGAAAAAUCUCAGUGUUGUCAAAACUCUAUGAAAAGUAGAAGACAAAUUCAGCCUCUGGCUGGAGCAAAGAAGUUCUGCUCCCAUGUGCUCACUGAAAUGGAAAGCACCAAACACAUGGGUUUACUGGGCUCUUGAUGGAACUAGCAGCAAAAUCUACUCCUAUAUAUGAGCCUUUCUCAUGCAGAUGAGUGCUUUCAGCUUUAAAGGACUAGUAUAAAGUGGAAAAAUGUUCCAGAUGCUGCUUGUGCUCUUUGAAUUUUGUCUCUUUUUCAUUUUAUUUUUUCCAUCUUUUUGUUAUUGUUCUAAGAAUAGAGUCCUAUUUUUUUAUGUGCUGCUCUUUGUGAUAUACACAAGCAAAUAAAUAAAACCAUGGUUUGAUUUAACUUCCCUACUGUAGUGGCAAACGGGCUUUGUUGGAAGCACGCACAUUAGUUUAUAUUAAAUUUAAGCAGGUUUUAGAGCUAAAAAUGUGGGUCAUUUUUAUGCACGUGAAAGAGCCAAGAUCUGCAAAUUAUCUCUUGUGAGACUCCUACUUCAGUCAAACUCUGAAGGAUAAUCCAUUCUGAAACUUUUUUCCUUAACUUUUCCAAACAUUAUGUAAAGACCAAAAUGAUCAUCAGCAACUUCAUUUUUGUGUGGGUAGUACAGAAGGAAAAGUUAACUAUAAACCCCUUUGUAGGGUGUUAUUAAGAAGGUUAAUUACAUACUGAUUUUCUAGACACAAGCAAGCUUGAGAUGGAGAUUGUAAUAUCAUUUUAGAAUAUGCAUUUUGCUUUCAUUUAAGGCAAUGAGUCUUUUCAAAGUCAUAAAACCAAAAGUAACCUGCUUUGCAGCUUCUCCAAAAAGAUUGUUUGCUCUCAAUACGAGCCCAGCACUGUAUUUUGACAUUUGCCAUAUUUAAGGAGAACAAUUUCUUCACACUUGUCUUGCUCAUUAGUUUGUCUUGAGGCACCCUAGUGAUUGCACAACAGCUUGAAUUUCAAGUGAGGGCUGCUGCUCGUUUCCCUGAAGUGCUGCUGACAAUUAUAUCUGAUCCCAUGGCAUAUAUGAGUUGCCACGAUACUCUAAUUCUCCUCAGUUGCUCUUUGGUUCCCUUAUGGGACAGUCACCCCAGUGUAUCAUCUGUUUGAGAGAAAAAAAUAAGUAGUGAGAUGUAAAGUUGCUUUCUUUUCCUCAAAGAGAAAGGAAGCUUGGUAUUUUCUCACUGUUUUCCAUGGACAGGAUUCUUUUGGUAUGUAUGCAGAAGUGACUGUGGCUUGCAGAUGAUAGAUGGUUUCAUUAUGCACCUGGCAAAAAUAAUACCAUCACAGCUGAUAAAUAUUUGAAUACAUACAGGCAUCCAAAGUGAUACAAGCCGCUUGAUAACUAAGAUAAAAAUAAGUAUUUUUGUUGUUGUUGUUGUUAAAUUUAUGAUAGUCCUUCAGAGGAUUAAUUUCAGAUAAGAAUUUGUUGGUAGGAUAUAUCUGCAUGCUUUCUGAGCACGUAAGGAAAACCAUUAAGUGGAUGUAUUAAAAGACACUGCUUCACAAAUUUCUGCAGUAGGUAGGGAAGGUUAAGUUCUGUUUUAAAUUUAACUGUCUUGAUUAUCUCCUGAGAUAAUUAUGUAAUAUUACAUGUUUUGACUCCUAUAAAGACAUUGUUCUGUCUGAUUAUUUAAUAGAAAAUAGUAUCUUUUUACUGACAGCAGUCAUUGUUAUAGUCAAAUUAGAUACCUUAAGUUCUGUUAAUAUUAGAGCUGUAAUCUCGAGAACCUAAAUAAUCUUACUUCAUAUCUAGCCAAAGUUACAAGGGAAAGGCAUUUGCAUAGAACAGUACAAAAUAUAGUGUAAUUAUAUUAUCACAUAGUUUACAUUUAUGUAAAUUUUGCAUGUUCUAGGGGAACUGUUGCUUAUUUUCCCAAAGCACGAUCUUGCUCAGCUUCACUACAAGCGUAAAUAAUGAUCCACGGUUUCACUUUGUGGAAUUUCGAUACAAAAGAAUUUAAAAAUGCAAAAUACGUUACUUUUUGUUGUUUUGCUCUUGAUUAAUUUCUGUGUUUGGGAUUAAAUAAUCUGCAACUAUUUCAUGACUUCAAAGGAAAGCUUUUUUUUUUUUCUCUCUUUUUUCUCUCUUUUUUUUCUUUUUUUCCCACCAACUGCAUGUUUCAACCUUUUGGACUGAAUAUCCUCGGUUCUGCUCUUAGUUACUGUUGUUUGCAACCUACCCGAGCACAGUUACCAUCUCAUAUCAAACUGAUGGGGUUCGAGUAGGUUUGCAAAGAAUCAAAGCAAAUCACCUGUGUCUACUUUCUUAACUUACUGGCUGAGUAUUUGUGUUUCAGGUAGAAGCCAGUUAUUUUUGUUAGUUGCAUUCCAAGAACUGAAGGAAAAUCUGUAGUAUCACUGAGAUUUUUGUUAGGUGGAUGGUUUGAGAACCUGUUAUUAUUUGUUAUUAUUUUUGCUGGAACCUGGUUGGUGCAUUCCUUUCAAAUGCUGCAUAAUUCUAAAUAUUUUAUCUACUCCUUGUCAGGAUGUACCUCUUAAUUAUGAACUUGUAAUGUGAUUAUUUCCAAUAUUCUAUACUUUUUCAUGUUUUCUGUUGCCUAUUAACCUACGUUAAUAAUUGUGCUAUUUUACUGCUAUUCUCUGUGUCAUGUUGGAGUGGAAAACCUCGAGGAGAGUGGAAGAACAAGCUCAACUACAGUAGAAUAAUAAAGUGGUUCAGAGCAGCCUGCCAAAAUCUCUCUAAACAUCUCGUUUUAUGUCUGCUGGGUCUGUUCUGGCAGUAAAUUUCAAAGACACAAACAACUUUCCCCCUUUCUCUCUGCAAUGAUGUCCAGCCAACUGGAGACUCGUGCCCUCUGAGCUGCUCUCAAUUGGUCUUAAAUGGUUUCUGUUAAGAUUGUCUUGAUAUAUUUAUAGUUUUGGGAUACAAGAGUUUAA